RNAcentral lists this ribosomal RNA (764 nucleotides) under Klebsiella pneumoniae. RNAcentral describes it as "bacterial SSU rRNA". It matches the Rfam family "Bacterial small subunit ribosomal RNA", at positions 27 to 782 of the family's 1533-position model. Lineage: Bacteria; Pseudomonadati; Pseudomonadota; Gammaproteobacteria; Enterobacterales; Enterobacteriaceae. The record is from RNAcentral.
GAUUGAACGCUGGCGGCAGGCCUAACACAUGCAAGUCGAGCGGUAGCACAGAGAGCUUGCUCUCGGGUGACGAGCGGCGGACGGGUGAGUAAUGUCUGGGAAACUGCCUGAUGGAGGGGGAUAACUACUGGAAACGGUAGCUAAUACCGCAUAAUGUCGCAAGACCAAAGUGGGGGACCUUCGGGCCUCAUGCCAUCAGAUGUGCCCAGAUGGGAUUAGCUAGUAGGUGGGGUAACGGCUCACCUAGGCGACGAUCCCUAGCUGGUCUGAGAGGAUGACCAGCCACACUGGAACUGAGACACGGUCCAGACUCCUACGGGAGGCAGCAGUGGGGAAUAUUGCACAAUGGGCGCAAGCCUGAUGCAGCCAUGCCGCGUGUGUGAAGAAGGCCUUCGGGUUGUAAAGCACUUUCAGCGGGGAGGAAGGCGGUGAGGUUAAUAACCUCGUCGAUUGACGUUACCCGCAGAAGAAGCACCGGCUAACUCCGUGCCAGCAGCCGCGGUAAUACGGAGGGUGCAAGCGUUAAUCGGAAUUACUGGGCGUAAAGCGCACGCAGGCGGUCUGUCAAGUCGGAUGUGAAAUCCCCGGGCUCAACCUGGGAACUGCAUUCGAAACUGGCAGGCUAGAGUCUUGUAGAGGGGGGUAGAAUUCCAGGUGUAGCGGUGAAAUGCGUAGAGAUCUGGAGGAAUACCGGUGGCGAAGGCGGCCCCCUGGACAAAGACUGACGCUCAGGUGCGAAAGCGUGGGGAGCAAACAGGAUUAGA